GUUUGGUCUGGGCGUGCGAACGAGAGAAGGAACCAAGGGAACCAAAACCCUAAACAACCUAAAACCAUCAAAUUGAAAGGGGAAUCGAGGGCUGAUCGAAUGCAUGAGUCUAGAUACCCUUUAAUCUAAGUGUAUUGAUCAUAAGGAACGUGUCAAGGAGAGCUCAAGCAUAGGAGGAUAACGGGUCAAGAUAAGGCAAGGUGACAAAUACACUUAUUGGAAUACUCAAGGUGAUGAAUGUCGGACUUUCGAAGUGUUGAUAUAAUAAUGAAACGGUUGAAUGUUGAAAGGAUAAUCGGACUGAAGUAACUUAUGCGGUAAAUCCUCAAUUUUGGCGACUUGGAGAAUCGGAGCGAGCGCGUGUUCGUGUUAUGCGAUACCAAACGCUUCCGCUAGUUUGUUCAAAUGUUUUUGACCCAAAAUUUGUUGUAUUGGUUUUUAGUAGUAUCUUGUUGAACGAAUUGUAGAAUUGUAUCUAGUUUGUUUAUGUUUAAAACAGGGGUAUGCUCGUUUUAUGGACGGGUCAUGCCCGAUUUUUUGUUAAAUUAUAGUUUGAUAAUAUCACAUUUAGGAAGGUGAAAUUUUGG
RNAcentral lists this long non-coding RNA (587 nucleotides) under Helianthus annuus (common sunflower). RNAcentral's name for it is "hypothetical non coding rna". Lineage: Eukaryota; Viridiplantae; Streptophyta; Magnoliopsida; Asterales; Asteraceae. The record is from RNAcentral.